AUUGAACGCUGGCGGCAUGCCUUACACAUGCAAGUCGAACGAUAACAGGUCUUCGGAUGCUGACGAGUGGCGAACGGGUGAGUAAUACAUCGGAACGUGCCCGAUCGUGGGGGAUAACGCAGCGAAAGCUGUGCUAAUACCGCAUACGAUCUACGGAUGAAAGCGGGGGAUCUUCGGACCCCGCGCGGACGGAGCGGCCGAUGGCAGAUUAGGUAGUUGGUGGGGUAAAGGCUCACCAAGCCUGCGAUCUGUAGCUGGUCUGAGAGGACGACCAGCCACACUGGGACUGAGACACGGCCCAGACUCCUACGGGAGGCAGCAGUGGGGAAUUUUGGACAAUGGGCGCAAGCCUGAUCCAGCCAUGCCGCGUGCAGGAUGAAGGCCUUCGGGUUGUAGACUGCUUUUGUACGGAACGAAAAGUCUCUUUCUAAUAAAGAGGGAUCAUGACGGUACCGUAAGAAUAAGCACCGGCUAACUACGUGCCAGCCGCCGCCGUAA
Molecule: ribosomal RNA, 498 nt
Filed under: uncultured bacterium
Lineage: Bacteria
Description: partial 16S ribosomal RNA
Rfam family: Bacterial small subunit ribosomal RNA
Source: RNAcentral